RNAcentral lists this ribosomal RNA (408 nucleotides) under uncultured bacterium. RNAcentral describes it as "bacterial SSU rRNA". It matches the Rfam family "Bacterial small subunit ribosomal RNA", at positions 355 to 777 of the family's 1533-position model. The record is from RNAcentral.
UGGGGAAUAUUGGGCAAUGGGCGAAAGCCUGACCCAGCAACGCCGCGUGAAGGAAGAAGGUCUUCGGAUUGUAAACUUCUUUUAUAAGGGACGAAGGACGUGACGGUACCUUAUGAAUAAGCCACGGCUAACUACGUGCCAGCAGCCGCGGUAAUACGUAGGUGGCAAGCGUUAUCCGGAUUUACUGGGUGUAAAGGGCGCGUAGGCGGGGAUGCAAGUCAGAUGUGAAAUCUAUGGGCUUAACCCAUAAACUGCAUUUGAAACUGUAUCUCUUGAGUGCUGGAGAGGUAGAUGGAAUUCCUUGUGUAGCGGUGAAAUGCGUAGAUAUAAGGAAGAACACCAGUGGCGAAGGCGAUCUACUGGACAGUAACUGACGCUGAGGCGCGAAAGCGUGGGGAGCAAACAGGA